RNA transcript from Xiphias gladius (swordfish), 3221 nucleotides. It is a transcript of the gene named SH3 domain binding glutamate-rich protein like 2, with no coding region annotated. NCBI's taxonomy places the organism in Eukaryota, Metazoa, Chordata, Actinopteri, Istiophoriformes, Xiphiidae. The record is from RefSeq and is a predicted model, not a curated record. The transcript has 4 exons.
CCUUAUUCUGAAAAGUUGCGAGCGGAAGUCCAGUGUUCCGCGCGGUGUCCAGCAUCGGUGCGGCGAGGAGCGCGGCCGAGCGUCGCGGGCAGCAGAAAGCCAACGCGGUUUCACGUUAUCAUGGCUCAGUCGAAACCCCGGAGACGCGUCCCCUCUCUCAUCUGAAGCGCAGCGUCAGUGGUCCAGAGUCUCCAGGCGUAAUUUCAGGGGGAGUGAGCGGGACUCGCCGCCUCCCGAGCAGUUCGUUGUCGACUGCCUGGCAUUUAUUUGGGAUUAAAAUGGUCAUCAGGGUUUACAUCGCCUCCUCAACCGGCUCUGUCGCGGUAAAAAAGCAUCAGCAGGCUGUAGUGGGUUUCCUGGAGGCCAAUCGAAUCAGCUUCCAGGAAGUAGACAUCACCAUGCUGGAGGAGCAGAGGCUCUGGAUGUACCGCAACAUACCCCGGGAGAGGCAGCCAGAGAAAGGCAACCCGCUGCCUCCACAGAUCUUCAAUGAGGAUCGCUACUGUGGGGACUAUGAAGACUUCUUCCAGUCAAAGGAGAACAACACUGUGUUUGCAUUCCUUGGGCUCAGUUCACAGCCAUCAGUGAAAAUGUGUGAAAAUACUGUAUGUACACAGAAAUAAACUGUUGUCUCUGUGUUGUAAAUCAUGCAGCUGCCCAACUUCCUCAAAAACUAAACACUGCACCAUGUCUCCGCGGUGCUAGCAUUCGGAAUCAUAGAUCAAACUGCUGGUGUGCGACGUCUGAGGAACCUUAGAAUAUGAGGACACAAACUGCAUCACUUCCUGAGUUGCAUCAUAUCCUUCACCCAUGAUCCCCGUGCUACGAAGCCAGCAUUUUGCCAAACCUCAGCCCACAUGGAUUUCCUCCUGUAUGACCUCUUCCGACUUUAAAAACUGUUUAAGCAACAUUCCACCGUUACUCAAGUCUCCAAGAAGUGUCUGACCCUCAAGAGGCCUCUGAAACCCCAAUCACAGAAAAAGUGGAUUAACUUUAUGAUGGAUGUAUUUGUGUUUCCUUUUCAUAUUAACACACGGUGACAGCAAACACUGUUUUGAAAAUGCAUAAGCAUAAACUGUGUGCAAACUAGAAAACGACGUAGCAGAAUUUUGCAUCAAUAGACCAGUUGCUGUAGGUCAGUCUACGAUGUGGUGGACGAGGACGAAAUGAUCAGGUGCGGCGGUGCAGCACAAGCCACCUGAAUACACACCUGUAUCGUGUGUGUGCAUGCCUUAGUGUGUGUGUGUGUGUAUCUGUCUCAAUCAGCAGCUGUUAAUGAAGGCUGUGCUGUGAGAGGGGGAGCUGAGAGGCAGCACUUGAUGCAACUUGAAACAACCGGAGGCCUAGCCAUUAUGUCUGGAUGGAUGUGUGUGCGUGCCUGCUCGUGUGCACACAGGUUUGUGUUUACAUGUGUGGGAGUAGAGAUGCUUUCCCCUGAGUUGACAGUGACGCUGCAGUUUAACACAAAGCAGAUGAGACCAAAUGCUGAGAAUCUUAAAACAUAUUUGUAAUUAUACAUAGUAUCAUAGCAAGCGUUCAUGUUUAGGUUGUAGUGGCUCUUAUCAAAUAAAACAUACAUUGAUUAAUGCACAGGGUUGGGAUCAAUAUUUAUGUUUUGCCUGUUGUCUGCAAAUCCGGUAAAACGACCAAAACCAACAAUGUGUUAUAUCUCAAUAUGUUCUGACUUCUCUACCAUGUCUGUGGCACUCGGUCCCAAGCCCAUUCCCUCAAGCUGAAGACUUAAAUCUUUAAAAACAGAUUUCAAACAUAGAGUUUCAUUCAUUGUUGUUGUUUUUUGUUUUUGUUUUAAAGGCUUAGUCAUUUCCUAAAAAAAAACUGGGCAUUGUAGUUUUAAGCCAACGUUACACAAGCAAGAGUAAAUAGCACAUUUGUAAGGAUUAUUUUAAGCCGCGGAUAAAUACACAUUUGGUGCUCUAGUACUGCAUAUUUACAGCAACAGAAUGGUGUAUGUAGGAUCGACUCAAAAUAAGCUACGGUGCCCAGGUUUAUUUAUAAUGAAGGAACAUGUUGCCCAGUAUGGCUCACUGAUGAGUUUUUAAUGGCUUUCAGACAACAAUGGAGCUCUAUGGCACGGAGGAAUAACAUUAUCAGGCCUUGGCAACUCGGACAGUACUGGUUUGGUCUUUUUGUGGGAUUUGUUGACAAUGUGAAAAUAUAGAUUAUGACCAGCUUUAUCCUCUAAUCAAGACAGCUCUAGACUAAGCAUGGUUACAAUCAUGUAGACUACAGGAAUACACUUUACAGAUCACUCCAAGUCUUAUGUGACAGAGGAUCCAAGAGAUAUGGAACAAAUAAUUUAUUGCUUUGAGAUAAUUGAGUGGCAAAGCUCCAAACCUCAGAUUUCCGUGUUGUGCCUCCACUUCUCUCUCUAUAUUUCCAAACGUCUGAGCAAACAGUUGCGUAAAUGUGAGCAAACUGCCCUGUGUGUGUUUUAUGCAUAAUGAAAAUAACAAGUGAUUGACACAUGGUGCCCAACUCCUACUCCUGUCCUCAAAUCUGUAUUCUGUGUCUCUCCUAAACACUGACACUAAGCAUUAUCUCUUAAUGUCUCUUUCCUAUUAAAUCAUCACGGUUGGGUGGUUAACUGAUUCCUUUAUAUUUACGCUUGAAGGGCACACAAACAGAUGCACCCUCACUAGCCAUUUUUCCUGAAUGUUGUGCCAUCUGUUGAAAGGAUAUGUAAUUUUUACUUAUUUUAAAUCAAACAGGAUAUCACAUUAUCACCACUGACACUGACAUUCCUCUUUUGCUGACUUGUAUCAUUUAUUGUCAAAUCAUGUAAUGACUUUCUUGUGAGCUCUGUGAAUGGACACUAACAAGUCUGUUGGACCACAAACUGACUAAAUGUACUCCAUGUUACACCUCGCUGUCUGUGACUUUGUUGUGGUAAAUUGUGGCUUUUUUUUUCUAUUUGAAACGGGCUCAUGAGAAUUGUACUCAAUGACACAUGUCUGUAUGGGAGCAGAUUACAAUAUUUUAAGUUUAUUUGCGUCAGUAUUUUUCAUUUGCGUGUUAUUGUUCAAGUAAUACUCUUCCAAAAGAGGUACAUACUGUUAUUUCUUUGCAUAUUUGAGAUCAAUGAAUAUGAAAUGGAGAAUGGAGAAGAUGAAAAUGUAAAAGAAGACACCUUUUAUGAGAGGAUCAAUCUGGAGGGCCUCUCUAGUGGUGGUGGGAAAGUCACAUUGUUCUUUGCCAUGCAG